This 319-nucleotide ribosomal RNA is filed under the name uncultured Acidobacteriota bacterium. RNAcentral's name for it is "bacterial SSU rRNA". It matches the Rfam family "Bacterial small subunit ribosomal RNA", at positions 28 to 351 of the family's 1533-position model. The record is from RNAcentral. Lineage: Bacteria; Pseudomonadati; Acidobacteriota.
AAUGAACGCUGGCGGCGUGCUUUACACAUGCAAGUCGAGCGAGGCCGGGUAGCAAUACCCGAGUCGAGCGGCGCACGGGUGAGUAACGCGUGGAUGACCUGCCUGAGGGUGGGGGGAUAACCCGGGGGAAACUCGGGCUAAUACCGCAUAAAACCGAGAGGUCAAAGGGGGCCGCAAGGCUCUCGCCUGCAGAGGGGUCCGCGUCCGAUUAGCUAGUUGGCAGGGUAAUGGCCUACCAAGGCGACGAUCGGUAGCCGGCCUGAGAGGGUGAUCGGCCACACUGGAACUGAGACACGGUCCAGACACCUACGGGUGGCAG